Molecule: ribosomal RNA, 238 nt
Filed under: uncultured bacterium
Lineage: Bacteria
Description: partial 16S ribosomal RNA
Rfam family: Bacterial small subunit ribosomal RNA
Source: RNAcentral
UGGCGCACGGGUGCGUAACGCGUAACCAACCUACCCACAUCUGGGGGAUAGCCCGCCGAAAGGCGGAUUAAUACCGCAUAAGCUACUUGGCCGGCAUCGGUUGGAUAGUAAAGAUUUAUUGGAUGUGGAUGGGGUUGCGUGCCAUUAGCUAGUUGGGGGGGUAACGGCCCACCAAGGCGACGAUGGCUAGGGGAGCUGAGAGGCUGGUCCCCCACACGGGCACUGAGAUACGGGCCCG